CCUGGCACACAUACUACAAGGGCCAAUCCUAGAGUUGCAGACGCCUGGCGCUCCCACGUGGGCGUAAUGAUCUAACAAACUUCUCCCCUUUGAAAAUACCCAGUCAUGAAAAGUUUCUAUGGCAAUAACUCCACCUUUCUGCCUUGUAAUCAGACACACACUCACGUACAGUCACACAAUCUAAUUGAUUUGAAACACACUCACUGACAAACACACAAACAUGCACUCUCAAUGACAGACACAUGCUCAUCCUCUUCUGGCAUAUUGCCGUGGUGCACCCUGUGCACCCACCCAGGAUCAGCUUUGUACUACAGCUCUUAUCCCGCACACACACACAAAAAAAAUUGAGAAGAAAUCGAAUAGAGAAGAAACUAAAAAAGGAUAUACAAAAAUACCUUUAUUUUUACUGCUAUCGCAGCUAUAAUGCACCCAUGCAGAGAAACUGCCUCUUAAGUAGACCUUUGUAUUGGAAAAGGUUCCUCCAAGUUAACAAGUAAAGAACAAGCAAGUCGAAUGAUGAAACAUAUUUGUGUUUACUCAAAGAGGUAAUCAGCAUAAACAUAGUCAUAGGAACACGCUGGACACUAUAACUAGUUCAUCACAAUUAAGUUGCUAUGGUGCCAGCAGGUGCCUGGCACUCACCUUUAGCGGUUAAAUCGUUCACGAAUGGUUAAACACCAAAAAUCUUGAAUUUAGCUCUUCCCCGUCCUGCUUCAUUCUGGUUCUUGAAAAAAGAAGCUUUGGACAGAAGAGCUGCUGAUUGGCUGAGAGUGUUAAGUUAGUCAGUAGUUCUUCAUUCAUUAAAAAAAAAGCUUGAGAAAAAUAUGUAUGCCCCUACUUGUGCCUCCCUUCUUAAGAGAUGUAUUCAAGACUUUUGGGCAACGAUUAAACAAUUGAUGGAUAUGGUAGAGGAGAUUCACGACUUGGAAACCCUCACAGUCUCAUUACGGGGAAUGACUGCUCACAAUUAUGGGGCCCAUGGAGGGACUACAUGUCUCAAAGGACCUCUGGAGAUAGAAGUUGGAAACUAAUUUCCUUUUUACCUUAUCACUCUUCCUUCUCAGCAGUAGCUGGGUGGAUCGGUUAGGUUGCAC
Pelobates cultripes (western spadefoot toad) is the source of this 1094-nucleotide non-coding RNA. NCBI's taxonomy places the organism in Eukaryota, Metazoa, Chordata, Amphibia, Anura, Pelobatidae. The record is from the annotation of a GenBank genome assembly.